CAUAUUUAUAUCAAUAUGCCUUUCUGUUGACAUAACAUCCUAAUAAUAUCAAUAUAUAAUUUUCUCCUGACGUCAUACUAUCAAUAUUUAUAUCAACAAACCUUUCUCUUUUGAUGACAUAAGAUCAUAAUAAUAUCAAUAUACUUCUUCUAUACGCCCUAAUUAAAAAAAAUCUCACGCAACAAUCUCCAUAAUUAUCCUUUCAUUGACUUUGACUUGUGGAAUACUUGCAGAAAACCGUUGCCAAAGUUAGCAGGAUGAAUAUUGGUAAAAGUUUGGUCAUUUUAAAAAAUCUAGGUUCUCAAAUCAAUCAACUCACAAAAGAACAACGAAAAGAGUUCCUCCGAUAAAGGUUGACCAUAGAUAUUUAAUAUAGUUU
Molecule: long non-coding RNA, 379 nt
Organism: Gordionus sp. m RMFG-2023
Lineage: Eukaryota; Metazoa; Nematomorpha; Gordioida; Chordodea; Parachordodidae
Exons: 3
Source: RefSeq, a predicted model, not a curated record